AGGAAAUAAACAUUUUUGGCCUGGUCCUGAGGAGAAUGCAAUGCUCACCCCAGAACUGCUGCUGCAGGAGCACCAUCUCAGAGGAGGACACAGAGACCAUCACAGCUACAAGCAUCUGACAGACUGAAGGACUCCAAAGGGGAUAGACAACAUGCUGUAGAUGCACGGGCAGUGAUCUGAGAGUCAAAGCUCCAUUUCUAAUUGUUCUGUGGUGGAGUUACAUGACCGAACAGGGCUGUGGAUGUUAUCUGCUGUGCUUGUAAUGCACUGAGUGGCUUCUACCUCAUCCUUUGCCUCCAUCUGUUUCUCUGCUGCUCCCGUUGAGCCCACACAACUAUCUCCAGAAGUGAAUAUGAAAGAUGCAGGAGUCUGACUCUACUCCCCACACAGAUCAUGACUGAGGACUGUGAGUAGACAGUCUCCUUGGGCUCCCUCCCACCAGCGCAAGGCAUGUAAGCAAUGAGACCAAAGGAGUCCUCCUGGGUUGUGGUGACCAAGCCCAGCUAAUGCAAGCAGCCAUGUCACAUAAACCUGUCCAUAAAGGCAUCUGACAGCCUGCCCUCCUUACUGCUGUGAAGAGACUCUCCAAAAAUCCACUCCUCUAAUGGUCUGGAAAUCACCGAGGGCCAAGAAUCAAAUGCAAAGGCAGCCCUAAGACUGGGUCUAGCAUGGAGUCAAGAGUAGGAUGCUGUGUUCCUUGUAUGAGCAGAGGAGCCUGUGCAGCCACACUUUGCCUGGGGCAGGCUUCCAUCCCAACACCAAGGGAACAGAAGACAAACGGGCAUUGGUCCCAAGAACAGGCGGUAACGAAAUCAAGCUGGACCAUCUGUGGAUUGCUCAGUGCCUGCCAUCCCACCAACUACAGGAGGAUACUGGGAGAGGCUGAGAGCUUGAAAAUCAAAACAAAAUCAUGGUGACAGAAAACCACCAAUCAGCCCUAAGCAACUCUCCACUUGUCUCUAGAAAUGUAAGCCUGGGGUUGAUUUAAAUAUGUCUAGAAAUGAGAAGCCGUGUGUUCAGCCUGCUCUCUUCUGCAGGAUCAGGUAUCCAUCUUUUCCAGUUGGUUUAAGCUGUCCAUCUCCUCCUGUCCCUGAUAUGAUAAAGUCAGUGUUAUUAGAAUGCCAAACCUCCUCCCUGAGGUUCUUGGUGGGUUCUGGUUCCUGCUGCAUGUCUGUGAUGGGAAGGUCUGAGACCUCCCCAGCUCAUUUCAUGUGUUGCAGAGCUCAUCUCUCCAGCCUGCCAAGGGGGAGAGGGACAGAUUAACACUGAGAAAAGGCUUUUAUGGGGCAGCAAUGCAGCAAGAAGCAAUGUGUAGUUUAUAUCAGUAUUGGAUGCAUAUUCCUGUGAGUGUGUAACUUGCUCCCAGCCUGGAAGCUGGUAUCACCAGUGUGCAAAAAAGCUUCUUACUGCUGCUCCUUUCUGGGUGCUUUUGUGGAGGGGGAGGAUAGAGAAUUGGCAGCAUGUUGGUAGAGAUCUGGGAGAGGGGGGAAUGAGGGUUUAAAGCUUGAAUCCUAUCAAGUUCAUUCUACUGACAGCUCCAGGAAGGGGAAGAGACACACCCCCCCCCCCCCCUCUUCUGCACAUCUAUUCCAGCCUGCAACAGCCUAAUAAAGAGGAUAAUGGAUUGGUUUAACCUUUAAGGGAGGAGAGCGCAGCGCUGCAUCGUCUGCUGUGUGCACACAGCCCCCGGCUCAGUGUGAGCGCAUCCAGCACACGGACAUCCACAUUCCCUCCCCACGGUGCUCCCAUCACAUGCCUUGAUCCAUGUGAGAGUAGAUCCAACACAGUGCAGGAGACAUUCGCCUACGCAGAUCUCAUUAGUUGUCUCAAAGAGGGAAGGGAAUGAACAUGACUGGUGACGUCCCAGCCCUCCUCUCUGUCUCCUGUUCAGAGGGAAGGGGGGAGAAGGGGCAGAGACAAGGAAAGCUUUCGGGGGGAUUAAUGAGCAUAACCAGGCUAUAGUGAUGAAUUCUUCAUCUGGCCUGAAGUGUAAUUGUAGCACAGGGAUUAGUGCUCUGGGGAGCUCUUUGGCUGUCGCUGAUGGGUGAUUUUUAGCUAUUGAUGCACACAGGGGGUAAAAGCAACAGCUGGUUGUGCUGUGCUUUGGGGUAGAUCCAGUGAAAUGAAGAUUUCUGGAGUGGGCUUUGGGGCAGAAGCAGGAGGGGUUUAUAACAUCCUGGGUCUGGCUCACAGCUGACAACUGGUCCCAGUUCCCUGCUAUUUCUGAUG
Molecule: long non-coding RNA, 2229 nt
Organism: Pezoporus flaviventris
Lineage: Eukaryota; Metazoa; Chordata; Aves; Psittaciformes; Psittacidae
Exons: 7
Source: RefSeq, a predicted model, not a curated record